RNAcentral lists this small RNA (455 nucleotides) under Histoplasma capsulatum. RNAcentral describes it as "hypothetical RNA". Lineage: Eukaryota; Fungi; Ascomycota; Eurotiomycetes; Onygenales; Ajellomycetaceae. The record is from RNAcentral. RNAcentral also lists the same sequence under 1 other name.
AGGAAAGUCUUGAACGAGUCACACUCUUCUCGAUUCUGAGAUCAAACAGGCGUAUAUCAGGUCUCGAUAUGAGACUUGUCCAUUCUCCACUAAUAACCCAUCAUCCAAUUCCUGGGCCUCAAAUCUACAUUUUGAAGAAGGCAAGCAUCAUGAAUACCUAGGCCGAAAUUCAAAAGCCCUAACCUUGAGUUUCUGGGAGAUAUGUUUGCAAUACUCUGCCAAAAUGUCGACAUAAUAAGAGAUGAACAUCUGGAUGGAUAGUGAUUUUUCCCCCAUCUUUUUCCAUACUCAGCAUAAGCCAAGAGCAACCCCGGAGGCCUAGCUGUUAUUCUUUGCCGUUCGCUUGAGCACUACCUGAGCAGGGGAAACCCCUCGACGUUUUAACCUCUUACCAAUGUCAUCUUGCAGACCAAGAAAGAAACAGAAUCGAACAGUAUGGGGCUCCUUUCCGCAGU